RNAcentral lists this ribosomal RNA (551 nucleotides) under uncultured bacterium. RNAcentral's name for it is "partial 16S ribosomal RNA". It matches the Rfam family "Bacterial small subunit ribosomal RNA", at positions 355 to 899 of the family's 1533-position model. The record is from RNAcentral.
UGGGGAAUUUUGGACAAUGGGCGCAAGCCUGAUCCAGCCAUGCCGCGUGCGGGAAGAAGGCCUUCGGGUUGUAAACCGCUUUUGUCAGGGAAGAAAUCUUCUGAGUUAAUACCUCGGGAGGAUGACGGUACCUGAAGAAUAAGCACCGGCUAACUACGUGCCAGCAGCCGCGGUAAUACGUAGGGUGCAAGCGUUAAUCGGAAUUACUGGGCGUAAAGCGUGCGCAGGCGGUUUUGUAAGACAGAGGUGAAAUCCCCGGGCUCAACCUGGGAACUGCCUUUGUGACUGCAAGGCUUGAGUGCGGCAGAGGGGGAUGGAAUUCCGCGUGUAGCAGUGAAAUGCGUAGAUAUGCGGAGGAACACCGAUGGCGAAGGCAAUCCCCUGGGCCUGCACUGACGCUCAUGCACGAAAGCGUGGGGAGCAAACAGGAUUAGAUACCCUGGUAGUCCACGCCCUAAACGAUGUCAACUGGUUGUUGGGAAGGUUCCUUCUCAGUAACGUAGCUAACGCGUGAAGUUGACCGCCUGGGGAGUACGGCCGCAAGGUUGAAA